RNAcentral lists this ribosomal RNA (254 nucleotides) under uncultured bacterium. RNAcentral describes it as "partial 16S ribosomal RNA". It matches the Rfam family "Bacterial small subunit ribosomal RNA", at positions 524 to 776 of the family's 1533-position model. The record is from RNAcentral.
UACAGAGGGGGCAAGCGUUAUUCGGAAUUAUUGGGCGUAAAGAGCUCGUAGGCGGUUCGGCAAGUCACGUGUGAAAUCUCCACGCUCAACGUGGAGUCGCCACGUGAGACUGCCGUGACUCGAGUCCGGUAGGGGAGCGUGGAAUUCCCGGUGUAGCGGUGAAAUGCGCAGAUAUCGGGAAGAACACCCGUGGCGAAGGCGGCUCUCUGGGACGGUACUGACGCUGAGACGCGAAAGCGUGGGGAGCGAACAGG